Molecule: non-coding RNA, 98 nt
Organism: Acanthosepion pharaonis
Lineage: Eukaryota; Metazoa; Mollusca; Cephalopoda; Sepiida; Sepiidae
Source: the annotation of a GenBank genome assembly
CGUUGAAACACCUGUUCUUGUACGAUCUCCGCAGUUAAGCAACGCCGAACUUGUUUAAUACCUCGAUGGGUGACCGUUUACGAAUACCAGGUGCUGUG